Molecule: non-coding RNA, 1432 nt
Organism: Hydra vulgaris (swiftwater hydra)
Lineage: Eukaryota; Metazoa; Cnidaria; Hydrozoa; Anthoathecata; Hydridae
Source: RefSeq, a predicted model, not a curated record
UUCCAGUCAAUGUUAUGUUUAUUUGGUUGAGAUUAGAUCAAAUCCCAUUCAGAACGAAUUUUUAUUUGCGUAUUUUGCCGAACAACAAUUAAAAAAAACUCACGGAGCAAUAUUAAUAACAACACAACACAACAUUGUUCAACAAAUAUAUUAUUAUUUGUUACUAAAAUUGCUUUAUUACGUGGUCUUUAUUUUGUUAACUUCAUUGCUUUUACAGUGGGUUAUUCUAUUAAUUCAUGGAUGUAAUAGUUCUUAAAGAUUUUAGCAGCCGUGGUGCAGUGAUUAGAGCAGCCAAAGGUUUCGGGUUCGAUUCCGCUCGAAGCACUUAAAUGGCUCGAAGCCAUUUUUUAUUUAUUUGAAGACAUUCGCUAAUUUGAAAACAUAAAUGUUAUGAAGCGCUUUAAAAUCUGUUGUUUGUUUACCUGUUAAAAAAAAGAACUAAAUUUAUACAGAAAAUUGUAAAAAGAUUGUCAAGGGUGCGAACAGAUAGAGGAAGAAGUUAGAAUAGUGUUAAAGCAUGCUCCUAAUCGACCUGGUGGAGUUAACUAAGAGACAAAACUUACAGCAAAUGCUCAAAAUAAAGAUGUGUUGCAGCGACAUUUUAAAAAAAAGUUCUGAAAGUACAGGCUAGCAUAUGUUAUGUUAUAUGACCAGAUCAAAAAGUCCAGUCAGUUGCAACAACAAUUAAAGCAGCAAGAAACAGCCAAGUACACAUGCAAGUGAUUGUUAUGAGGAUUGCAAAAGUUUUAAAUAUCAGAAAUUGAAGAAGGCAUUGAUAAUCAGCAGAUAAUAAAAAAAACAAAAGUACUGAUUAUACAAAUCUUUUAAAGUUAAACGAUCACUACUUCCACAGCCACCUUGUCUCAAGCAUUCAAUUGCAUUCUAAGAUAUCUUUAUUCAAAUCAAGUGUGACUACUAUACCAAAAGACUGUAAAAUGGACCAAUCAACUAACCCAUCAGUACUUGCAAAGUCUCCUUUUCUAUUAGCUCAAAAAUUGAGUUCUAAAAUACCAUUAUUCACAUAACUACUAUAUCAAAGCACAAACUAAUGGAUUGAUCAAUGAAACUGUCGGUAUCUCCACAACUUUUCAAUUAAAUAGAAAGUUUCAAUCAAACAGGAUACUACGUGUGCCUACUGCUCCUCAAGACAAUGGAUAAUGGGAAAAAAAGAUUCUAUGACUUCGGUAUCCGUAAUAUGGUAUUGUGCAUUGGUUCUAAUCUUAGAAUGGCUCUCUUCCGUAUAGGUGGAAAUAGGAAAGGUUAUGUCCUUUUUUCUAAUUUUUAAGACAAAGAGGCUUAAUCAGUUCAAGCAAAGAUGACAAUGAUCAUUAUGGAGCCGAUCAUGAUGACGAAUGCGAUAAUGCAUAUAAUAAUAAAUAAAAUGAUUUUACUUGUAUUUUAGACUUAUAUAAAUAAAAAAUUAUCUGUUUAA